CAAACUCAAAAAAAUUGAUGAAUGCUCAGGCCUAAAAUAAAAGAUCCACACUCGAGUUUAAGUUCACACUGAACAUAUACUGAUGCACUUUAAAAUGAUAAACUGCCCCAAUCCCACUUCACAUACAUGCUUAUUUUUAACUGUAACAGCUUUGUAACGAUAGCAUACUACCAUGAUUUGAGUCCAUAAACAUAUCAAGGAUUCAAAAACAAUUGGCCAUUCUGCAUAGACCAGAUCUAUAGGAUUGAACACAUGGAGACCAGUAAUUCUACUAACAACUCUAUUAUAAUUCAAAUGUAAAACUUAGAACAACAUAACAUCAUAUCAACAUGCUGAGUUAGCGGGAUUAACAUAACCUUGUGAUAAAUAACUACACAAUAAUAAACACUAAUAACUAACAAGACAGAAUAUGAUCUUCAUAUGUCUCCAUCACAAACACUUCACACUCCAUUUUUACAUGCUUAAAGUGAAAAGUGUAUACCGGUGGAGUAAAGAAAAUAAGAAGAAGGAGGAGUCAGCCACAGUAGAAUAAUGUCAGUUGCAGUGUUAACCCAGAAAUAAGCAAGAGAAAACCAGCCUUGAGGCAUGUUCAAACUAAUAGAAAUCCCAGACAAUGUCAGCAACCAAAAGAAAACCAAACAGAACCAAACAAAACUGUUGAAAACCAACCAAAAUCAAGUCAUUUUAACCCUUAAAUAUCUAGAAAUGAUUUUAGAAGUAGGAGCCUAAAAGAUCUCCAAUUUUUCAAUGGAACAUUGUUCUCUUAACUAUUUUCAGUCGGUUGGUAUAUUUUCUGAUUUUCUAGCUUCUCAAAAACCUCAAUUGAGCUACAAGUAACUAUGCCUUUAUAUGCAAGUUACUAGGGCAUCCAUAGGGGUUUUGAUUUUUUCAUUUUAAACCUUCUCCUAUUUUCCCUUUUGCUAGUAAGUCCCUUAUUUUCUGACUUGUUGAUCAAGCUAGCCUACUACAAGUCUAAAUUUCGAUUAAAAACCCCUACCCUAGCUUCUUAUUUAGUUAUUAAGAGAUUUCCUACCAUAAACUUGAUAAAUUACCCCUGAAACCUUGUCAAUUUGCUUUUCUACUUAUGCAGACAUUAGGUCUAAAUGACCAAGCCACUGGGUCUACACAGACCCAAGUUGAAUCCUAGAUUAGUCCUCUACUCUUUGAAGCCCAAAUUUUGGUUGAAGUGACCACAAGUCACAAACGGGUAAGCCCAUAGCUCAAGUGUCAAAGGAGACUAAACAACCCACAACAGAAGAAGGGCCAGCGAGAGAGAGGACUAGUAUGAAGAACUCAGCUGAUUCGAAAACGACAAACAAAUUCAACUCACCUAUCAGCAAUUAUGACAUAAAUGUGUUCAAACAGCAGAACUUGAAUGACUACUUACCAAUUUUAGUACAAAUUAACAAAACAAAAUAUGUUUUACCCUCUCAACAAAAUAAAAUAGAAUUAACUCGAAAACACUGCCCACACUAAACUAACAAAAACAUAGGGGAAAGAAAAGAUAGAAUGAAUAUGGAAAAAAUAGAAUUCAGACAGACAUGGUAAAGAUAUACCUAGAGCUGGAAAUCAUCGGCUUGAAACGCUUAUCCGACAAUCUCCGAUUUGACCCAAACCGGGCAUAAGUUACAUGUUCUCUACGAAAACACGCGACAAAUGCUAGUUCCGGGCCCAAUCGCUUGUGGAAACUCGAAAUCUGGAAGUCCUCCUUAUCCCCGCUUUUAUAUCCGUGACUGACCCCAUUUAAAGAGGAUUUUAGGAGAGGAGUUGGUGGACUGGGACUCGAGGGCGAACGAUGGUUGUGGGGUUAGUCUGUGGUGGUGUUUGGGGAGGCCAAUCGCAGGUUAGAAUGGUGGAAAUAUUAAUGCUGCUACGUUUAAUAUGAGAGAGAUGAAAGAGAUGAAAGAAACAGGGGUGUGUUUGGAACUGAAAUGGAUCUCUACAUUCGUUCAGAUACUAUUAUGAGACAAAAGGGAUAGCUCUAGGACCG
This 1990-nucleotide long non-coding RNA is filed under the name Nicotiana benthamiana. Its description in RNAcentral is "long non-coding RNA (NBEN_LNC006439)". The record is from RNAcentral. Lineage: Eukaryota; Viridiplantae; Streptophyta; Magnoliopsida; Solanales; Solanaceae.